Molecule: long non-coding RNA, 3010 nt
Organism: Cercocebus atys (sooty mangabey)
Lineage: Eukaryota; Metazoa; Chordata; Mammalia; Primates; Cercopithecidae
Exons: 1
Source: RefSeq, a predicted model, not a curated record
AUCCGAGAUCGCGGCACUGCACACUAUCCUGGGCGACAGAGCCGGACCCCGUAUCAAGAAAGAAAAAGAAAAAGAAUCAAAGAAAAAGAAAUUACCAUCGCACAGUUAAGUCUGCCUUGCUAAACAGUGACUUCUAGGACCAAGAAAUCGCAGCCAGGGCUAGACCGGUGUUUGCCCUAAACUGGGACUUGCUUAGGCUGAGAAAUCACAUUUUGGCUAUUGAUUUAGACAAGAGGUAGCAAUCGCAGGCACCGCAAAAUCGAAACUUGGGAGAACCAAGAAGCCAACGACGCGCGAAACCGCAGAGGCCUGGGACAGAGACGCGAGCAGCGCCGCCGCCAGGGGACUGGGUUCUGGAGGCUAAGCCAGAACCCCUACGACGCAGCUCGCGGCGCUGUGAAGAGACGGCGCCCGCGCAGCUCCUCUGCCACUUGGCUCAAACGAGCGGCGGGCUCCCCCGCCCAGCGCCGCCGCCACCCGGGAACGCCAGACUCUGCGCAACUGGCUGCGACUCCAACUCCCUCAGAUCAGCUACCAGAGCGCUGCCGCCACCGAGAAAAUGGAGGCACCGAGGAACAAGCUGUGCCGCCACCAAGAGAACUCGGCUCCGCGAAAUGGCGGUGCCGGGACUUUGCGAGUGACGCCAGCCGGAGGAGUUCCCAAGGACAACAUCCGUUUUGGCGCAACCAACUGUGUUGUCACGGAGAAAAUGUCGACCCUCGGAAAAGAGAAGUUCUGCGACCGAGAAAUUCGGUGCAACAAGUGCUGUGACAGAAACCCUCCCCCCGGCUCGGCGCUGUUGGCGAAAGAGCCAACAAAACGCUGCGUGCUGCCACCGUGACACCGACUUUAGGACACAGGCCUCGGAUGGAGAAAGGAAGAGCACGGAGCCACCGCCUAACUUCCUAAUGUCUUCAAAUAGCGAAAGUGCUAACCGGAAACUGCCGGCUGGGUUUACCUUUUGGUGUUUCGCGUGGGACCAGCAGAUUCCAGAAACCAGAGGGACUGGAACCUAGUACACUUCGGCAAUUAGGAAAUGACCUACCAGGACAAAUAACUGCUUCUGGCUCCAUGGUGCUGCCCGUGAACAUCCGCCGGCUCUGAGAAACGAGCUGCACUGUCAAUGAGAAACCGUGGACACUGAGAAAGGAGCGGGCUGCAACUGAUAACUGCCCACCCAUUGCCACUAGGACAAAGUGCUGCCGGCACUACUCCCACCCUCCGUCCUCAAAUCAAUCCUCUCCCGCUUAAGAAGACCUUUAUUUUUCAUAGCGAAGUCAUACCGAGGGCCCCAGCAACCGACCCCUUGCGAUGUGCAUGGGAAAAGGAGGCAGUAUAGCGAUCGAGAAUCGGGCGGAUUAGGCUGGCCCUGGAAACAAAGUAAAAGCCAUCCGGGUCGCCAGCCGUCUUCCACUGCAAGAAACAAACCUUCCAGUGGCUGAGCUCCGCCCUUCUCCUUGGUCAGAGCCCUCCAAACUCCUAAGGGGAAGCCGACACCUCAUCCCUUUGGAAUUUGAAGCUCUCAGUCCAAGACCUCAGUGGAGAGUGAAAGACACAAUGCCGCCUGACCCAGGCUUCAGGCCUGCCCGGGCAGCUAGGUACCUCUCCAGGGGAUGGAACUCUGUGGGAACUGCUAUUUAAUUCUGAUGGUUAACUCUGUCAGAUGGCCUUGAUAUAUGGGAAUAAUCGUUGGAAGAGAGUAGAGGAAAUAAGAACCGCAAGACUCUAGCACAGGACGUGUGGAUUGAUGGUGAGGCCUCUGUUCCCUCUCCCCUUGAAAUCCUCAAAGGGCAGUUCCAUUUCUAUCACCUUUGACCUUUGAAAUUCAUCCCUGAUGUCUUCUCCAUCUUUGGGAAGUGCAGUGCAAUUUCAAGCUCUUCAAUCUUCCCUCUCCCCCAUUUGUCAAAUAUGCUGACGCUACAAACUUCUUUUUUAUAGGAAGCCUGAAACUGCCAUUGAGCAGAAGGAAAACAUCCCUUUCCAGAACCUUUCUCGUUUCUCUAAAAAUCUGCACUUUUGGAAGUGAUCCCCCAAAGAGACCUCCAGACUCUACCAUGAGUGUCUCCAGCUGAAUUCAUCAUGUCUAAUCCUCACCCUAGCUUAUCCUGUUCAAAUCAUUUCCAUCAUUUUCUGGAUGAAUCUGGGCGGAUGUCAGACCAGAGAAGAGCACAAAAUGCACCAGAGGUAAGAAGACCCAUUUUGGGCUCUCACUUCUCACCCACUCCCGAGAUGGUCACCUCCAGUCUUCCCCCCAUACCCUACCCUUUCUUCAGCUAGCCAAAACCUGCCCUGGUACUUGAGGCUUCUUCAAUUGCCUUCUUUUGCAGGCAGUAGAAUAAAGGAAAGAGGGCAGUGUCAAUAGAAGAAAAGUUACAGCCACUUUAUCUAAUUGAAGAUACUGUGCAGAGUCUUUGAAAAAACAAAAUAUCCCACCCACCAUUCCUCUCUCUCCGUUUCUACCUUAGCUUCCUAUUUUAGCAAAAAUGCUGGGAUCAGCACUUCUGGAGGGAAGGGAUCACCCUUCCAGGUUAGGAAUGUGGAGAGGAGUUAUGGAGCUCACGUCCCUAAAGGAGGGGGCAUUCUAGUUCCGGCAUUCAGAUUCAGUCUGAUUCCAAUAUGGUGUUUUUGUGGGGUGGUCAGAGAAAGGGCAAGUCAGGAACUGUAUAUUCCUCAGCUAGAGACUCUAAGACAUUUGCAUUUGGAAAAUCAGGAGAGAUGCUGAUAUUGUUUGGCUCCAUGUCCCCACCCAACUCUCACCUUGAAUUGUAAUAAUCCCCACAUGUCAAGGGUGAGACCAGGUGGAGAUAACUGAAUCAUGGGGGGUGGUUUUCCCCAUGCUGUUCUCGUGAUAAUGAGUGGGUCUCCAAGAUCUGAUAGUUUUAUAAUUGGCAUUUUCCCCUGCUGGCACACAUUCUCCUGCGCCCCUCUCAAGAGGUGCCUUCCACCAUGAUUGUAAGUUUCCUGAGGCCAUGCAGAGCUGUGAGUCAGUUAAACCUUCUUUCUUUAUAAA